UGUGUGACCCGUAAAUUUGUCCCUUGAUUUCAUUAAAGUGUUUGGAAAGGGUUCACAGAUUUUGCCAGCAACUCUCAAAGAACUGCUUUAAUGGUCUAAUUGUUACAAUUUGGUAAUUAGCUAGAGUCACAUUUCAAAGUGUGACCGAUAAGAUUUGGCAGAGUUAGCCAGUAUUUCAGAAAAUGGACUAGAGUCAUAGAGAUGCUACUAUUGUUCUUGUCUUCACAUUUAUACUUUUACUUUGGACUCCUGAGACGUACAGCUUUUGUGACUCUGUCACAACCUACUAUUCCCAACACAUCCCUGACAGCUGCAAGCAUCUUUGGGGAAGUGUCCCCUCAAGUUCCUGUUUCCAGUCAUUAAUGCAAAAGAAAGAAAAACGCUAGAGGCACUGAGAACCAUCCAACGCUUCAGCUGGCUUCAGCAAUUGCCACUUGCGCAAGACCCGUGUUUGUGAAAGCAACCCAAGAAUCUUUGAACAGGAUGUAAUCAACCUCCGAUCUGCUGAGAAACACUGCAAAAAUGACUUCCCCUGCCAAAAAUAAUAAUGUCGUUUAUGAGCAGCCCUUCCAUGUCUAAGGAAGAAGUAGCCCCACGUGUGAGUUUCUGCUGGCUUCAGAGGAGCAGGCGAAGAAAAGGGCAAAUCCUACCUACCCCAGCCUAAAAUACACGGCAUCAGAACGCACGGCAAGCUGUGGCUCAUUCCAAAGGUGCUGGCAAUAUCCGGGAAGACUCCUAUCCGCAAAAAUCCAAAGGAAUGAACCUGGAGACUGAAACUGCAGCCGCUAUGUGGUGACCCGGAGGGGACAAGGGAGAGGACAAAGGCCUAUGAGGUAAGGAAGCUGGGCCAGACAGGCAGAAAGAACUUCAGGUAUUGACAGCCUCACCGAGUUGCCCACCCCAGACUUCCUGUUCUUUGAGAAAAAUAAAACCAUAAUUCAUACAGAAAGUGGACUUUUAAUUUUUUUUCAGAUGCGGGUGUUUGGGUGGAUGAUGGUAACAUUCAGACUCCAAUUCUGAUAUUUCCACUCCCCACUCCACACUUUUCAAUCCUUCCCCAAAACGUUUAGGAUAAAAUAUAAAUUGCUUAACUUAGUUCUCAGGGAUGUUUUAAAAUUUACUUGCAAUUCACAUAUUUUUUUAAAAAGUUUUUAUUUAUUUAUUUUGAGAGACACAGAGACAGUGGGAGGAGCAGAAAGAGAGAAAGAGAGAGAGAGAGAGGGAGAGAGAGAAUCCCAAGCGGGCUCCACACUAUCAGCACAGAGCCUGAUGCAGGGAUCAAACCCCUGAAGCCGUGAGAUCAUGACCUGAGCCAACACCAAGAGUCGGAGGCUUAACCGACUGAGCCCCCCCAGGUGCCCCAAUUACAGUUCACAUCUUAAUCUCGUCUCUGGUCACUCACCCACCCAGAUCCUUUCAUUGAAGCCACCUCCAGUGACCUGUACUGCAUGCACAGCCUGACUACGUAGAAAGCCGUGGUUUUCCUCACAUUUCUUAUGCUAUUUUCCUGCGCCUUUUCUUUCUGCGUAGAACAUUCGUCAUUGUCUUCUGUGUUUAGCUAACUCUCCUUGAACUUCAAGGCUCGGAUCAGCUGCUGUUUCCUCCGGGAGGACGCUGGCCUUUCCAGUGCAGUUUAGGAUCUGGAGCACACGUUGUACAACUCUGCCUUCCCACGCUAUAACUCUAGGUCUUUUCAUCCUGCAUGUGCAGUUUUAACCAUGAUGGAAGGAGAGACUCUCUGGUCCAAAAAACUCAACAUAUUUCUUAUCCACAGACACAGGUAAGUGGAAACAACCGUUCUUCCGUGUCGGCAUUAGUCAUUGUGAUCUGUUUUUAACUUGUUGCAGAGUCAAAUAACACUGGUAUGUGUCAUAAAAUGUCUCCAAAUAUUCCUGGGCUUGUUCAUUUGCUUCAAGCACAUAAAGAGGCAAAUGUUAAAGCAAUGUGUUCUGAUCAAGAGACAGCUGGAAAUGGCAGCUGCCUGAUACGGAGCAAUCAAGAAUGGAAGGUUUAUUUUGGACGAGAGGUGUUGUCCAACUGUGAGACUGAGUGAUUGCAGCUGAGAAUAAGUGCAAACACAAUCAAUAGUGGCUCCAGGUCUGAACUCAUUGAGAACCUGUCUCGUGUCACGUCUUUUUCUGCUGCUGCAGUCACACUACAUCCGUAGAUGCCGAUACUACCCGUGGAGGAGGUAAAAAGUUCUUCAGUUUAUUCUUAUUAAGGACAGCUUCUGAGCCAUCAUGAUUUGAAAUUACAAUGACCAAAAGGCUCCUUCAGGAAAAAAGAAACAAUAUAUUCCAAAGUCAAAUUGUGUAACGGACAGGUAAGAAUGCCUCAACUUUAAAUGGUCUUGGGUGGGCAUUGCCUCAAGAGCCAGCCAAGUUGUUCUCUGCUUUCUGGAGUUGUAUGACUAUGGGCGAAGUGAUUUCAUUCUUCCCGGUCCCUAAGAGUGUUGUUAUUUUAUCGAUACAGACCGUAGAAGCGGCUCAAUAAAUAUUUUCUGUUGAACAAUCUAUAA
Molecule: long non-coding RNA, 2518 nt
Organism: Neofelis nebulosa (Clouded leopard)
Lineage: Eukaryota; Metazoa; Chordata; Mammalia; Carnivora; Felidae
Exons: 3
Source: RefSeq, a predicted model, not a curated record